This is a non-coding RNA of Rattus norvegicus (Norway rat), 408 nucleotides long. NCBI's taxonomy places the organism in Eukaryota, Metazoa, Chordata, Mammalia, Rodentia, Muridae. The record is from RefSeq and is a predicted model, not a curated record.
GACGUACUUCCUUUAGCUGGGCCCCACCUACUAAGGUUUCCAGAGCCCUCCCCAAAUAGUGCUGGCAGCUAAAGUAUUACAAAACCGAGUCAAACAAGACGGAACUUUAUCAUAACACUCACUGAAACAGGAAUGCGGGAAGGAGUUGGUUAUCGGAGCACAGACUCAGACAGCUGCUGUCAUGAAACUUCAAACCAGCACUGGAUACAGCUUCUGAAUCCUGACCACGUGGAGUAAACUGCACAGCUCUAGGCAUAUCUAAGAGUCAAAGAUCAUCCUGUCUUGUUGACUCAGUUUGUCAAAUCCUCUUCUAAGAGGCACGAUUCGUCUCAGUUUCCUCACGGAAAGAGGUUACAUAAUCGUUCAAGUACUCGGUGUUACAUUAAUAGAAAUAAAAUUUAAUAAGGA